UACAGACCCUGUCCCGUGUGCUCGGCAGCGGCUCCAUCUCGCGGGCGGGCGAACCGAUGUAUACGAGGCGAGCGACCUACGACUCGCCGGGCGGGAGAGGCCAUGUCUGUUCUUGCGAUGCGAGCGAGAGGAUCUCCUCGCGAAGCAACGGCAACGCCAUGGGGCAGUGAUGGCAUAGCGAACCGUCGCCUAGCGAUUCAGUCAUCGGCGAUAGAUAUCAUUGUUGGUACGGACCUUAAUGGCAAUUGAUUUGCCCACUUGCCGAGAUCCAUAUGGUCUCGACAAUCGCGUUGUUCCUCUCCGCCUCCAGCUACUUACUUCGGCAUGUUGAUACUUCAUCUUCUUUGUUCCACUUUCCCCCAAUUCUUUCUCCAUCAAAUUUCAGAAUUUAUCUUAUUGAUUGAUGUUGUUCUUUCUACCCCCAAAUGAAUAGAAGGUGCUCCGAGUUGACGAAUUCCAGGUCGUUUCCGAUGGGCUGGGUUGUUCCUUGCCGCUGUAAUGGCGAACUGUCAGGUUAUUAUCCGUGUCAUCUUACUAUUCGUGCUCAGCCUACUGCAUGCACAGGGUAUCUACAGUUGGACGUCGAGGGGACUGUUCUAGGAAUCCGAGGGACGAUGGCAUAUGGAGCAACUUCUUCUGUUUAUCUUUUUGGACAACAACUUUACAUGCUUCCGAAGACUCUAACUGAAGGUACAUACAUACAUACCUAUAUGAGGUAUCCAUGCCAAAAUAAAGUCAAGUACGUCAUGGAUUGGAUCCAUACCCAGCUUGGCCAUGAACCAACAUUCUCUCAAAAGCUUGGCGCUCCCUUCCCUCUAAACUUCUGUGUUUUUUCAUCAAGACGAUGUUCAGAUGCAGUCUAUGCGCACGCACAUAUGGCGCUUAGCGUUUCCAAAUGGUUGUGAAGCUCAACACUUUCGAUAAGCACUUUGUGCUCUUUAUGUGGUGAUGCACGUUCUUAAUAUGCAUUAUGUUUCACAUCUGACCAAUUUUUGUGACAUGAUUAGUGUCUCGUGGCAUAUUGUUUUUAGGGAAAUGAAGGAGAUCAGAUAAAUUUUCUCGACAAAGCCAAGCAUGUUCUUAAAGUCAUGUAAGGUGGUAGCAUGUAAGGAUAUUCAGUCACUAUUUUUACAGCAUGUUCUGGAUGUAAAUCGGAUGCCUGAUGCCAUGUAUAAUAGAAUACAAAUACGCAGAGGUUUCAGCCAAUUUGUUUUCAUGCAAAACAGUAGGAAUUUCUCCUUACUGCAUGUAUUUAUAAUAUUUUUCAAUGAGUCUAUACAAACUUGGUUUGUAUCAGAAAACAUUCGUUGAGCAGAACAGUUACAUAUAUAGGUGGCCUUUUGUGAUGUUAGUCUCGGUUAAUUCCUGAAAUGGACAGUAAUGGCCAUCUAAAUUUUCCCAAGGCUCUGUACAUGUACAGCAAAACUGAAACUCAAUAUAGAUGUCUCUUUUGAUGAAAUCAUUUAUGCAAUUAUGCUAGAGAAUCAUGCGAGAUGGUAAUGUUUCUUGUAUAGCUGUUUCAAAUAUGAAACUAGAUUAUGCCCAGGAUGCUCAGAUUGUGGAACCUCAUGACCUAAUUGCUUACUGCUGCUGUUAAAUCCGACGACAUGGAGGUAGACAUGACUAUGAAGGAUGGUUGUCAGUCACACCGCCCAACGACGACGGUAUCCACAGAUUUUGUCAAGAUAAUCUUCGACCAUUGUACCUAUGAAGAUAAAGCAGUUGUCCAUGAGCUUGUUGUGUUGGGAGACGAGGAUCCCCCACCUUGCAUGGUACCUCUUUUUUCUAGGGGAUAAUUGUACCUCUUUUAACUGAAAAAAU
Non-coding RNA from Triticum urartu, 1821 nucleotides. NCBI's taxonomy places the organism in Eukaryota, Viridiplantae, Streptophyta, Magnoliopsida, Poales, Poaceae. The record is from RefSeq and is a predicted model, not a curated record.